UUUAUUUUAUUUAUAAUUUAUUAUCUUAGUGAAGAGCGGAUGUUACCGUGCUAAGAGUUCUCGUAGAAUGAGUAUUGUUUAUAUGCGAUAGUUUAUAAAAUGUGCUUUAUUUAUAUUGUGAGAUAUAAAUACUAGAAAUAAAUUUUUUCAAGAUUAAGAGAAUGUGCUAGAUAAUAUUGCAAGUAAAAGGUUAGGUUCUGGUCAAUGGCACAAUAGAGAGUUCAACUUGAACGCUUAAUCCAGAUGCCCAUAGCGUAGAAAACUAUGAGGAAUUGUAUAAGUAUGGAAAUUCUAAUUAAGUCAUAUCAUAUCGUUGUUGAUUGUAAAGAAAUUUACUAUAAGACCAGUUUACUGAACAAGUAGCCUAAAUCAACGAUAAUUUUGAUGAAAUAAAGAAAAAUGGUUUUAAAAGGUAUUUUAAAAUAGAAAUAUAAAAAUUAUUUAAUUCUGAAUAAUAGGUGAAAGUUGCGGGUAAUCAAUCCCGUCAGAUUUUAAGUUUUUUAUUAAACAGCAGAAGAAGUUAAGGUUCGCUACCUGAAGAGUAUGCGUGAGCUGCUCCUAAUACUCAGACUUCUGUUAUCUGUGACUGAAUUCAUUGCGGCGAUAUUGUCUGGUAAGGCGAAGGUCUAGUAUAUUGUAAAUAAAAUA
RNAcentral lists this non-coding RNA (648 nucleotides) under unclassified sequences. RNAcentral's name for it is "ROOL RNA". It matches the Rfam family "ROOL RNA". From Rfam's summary of the family: Firmicutes, Fusobacteria (1 example), Tenericutes (1 example). Environment (Cow rumen (57)) The record is from Rfam by way of RNAcentral.